AUCCCAUGGUGGGGACAUUUUCUCUGCAGCUCCUUGAAUCUCUCCCAUGCAUCAUAAAGAGAUUCCCCAUUGUUAUACCCAAAAAUUGGAGAUCAAUGGCAUGGCAAU
Molecule: small nucleolar RNA, 108 nt
Organism: Humulus lupulus (European hop)
Lineage: Eukaryota; Viridiplantae; Streptophyta; Magnoliopsida; Rosales; Cannabaceae
Source: RefSeq, a predicted model, not a curated record